UCGUUGCUUGCUCUCUCUGUUAUAAGUUUUCCUAGGGGUUGACAAAAGCAGCCCUAGGAGAGCCGAGUGGCCAGAUUGAAGUGGGCCUAAAUUCUUAGAUCUUAACCUCUAUGGAGUCUUCCACACCUCCACACUUCUACUGCCCCUUCUGUGGGUCACCUAAGACUGAGUUCCCUUCUUGCUUCUUUGUGGCUUGAGAUGAUUAACUUUUAGUGCCUACAGAAUUUUGACCACUUCCGGUCCUUGAACAGGGGCGGGAGGUACUAUCAGAGGAGGAGGAACCCUCAGGAUCAGUACUGGGUUCCCUUAAGCCUUCAUCUGAAGCAUGCAUCUCUUCCAUGUGUCUGUUCCAGGCAGUGGUGGCGAUCUCACAGUCAGAACCAGAAGACCAGAUGAUCCACAGUCCCAAAGUGAAACUCGGACCCUUCCACAAGAUCAGAGUUGGUGACACUUGGCAGUGUGGCUGUGCAUGUUCCCCAGGAGGCACAGAGGCAGCUGGAGCCUUGCUAGAGGAACCACCUGGAAAUAAGUUGGGAGAGAUCUGCAGAUGGGGCCUCACUAGAUUUUCCAACCCACAGACCGGAUGUGAGCUUCCACAUGUUGCAGGAGGCAAAACCACAGAGCCCAGAUCUUCCGUGCUCUGGAGAGGAGAGUGUGAGAGACUCCCCGGUGGGUCAGGGGAGAGUCGAGCCUGGCCAGGUGCCUGUCUUGAGAAAAGCCAAGACCCAGGAUGGGCUGGAGAGCAGGGCCCGGAGGAUGAGAGGUGGCAGGGGUGCACUGGGGCGAUGAGGAAACCAAGACUUUUUUGGGAAUUCUCAGUGAUUCCUGGAUUCAUGAAAACUGCACCUGCCAUUGGAACUGCCGGGUGUACCGGAUUGUGGCUGUGCGGCUGCGGGAACGUGGUUUCCUACAGACCCUGGAACAGUAUCUCUACCAGUUCAAAAUCCUCCAGACCAAGUACCGCAAAGUCAGGAGCACCCACACCCCAGGCACCUGCCCCUUCGGUGAUGAGGUGGAUGCCCUGA
This 1025-nucleotide long non-coding RNA is filed under the name Sus scrofa (pig). RNAcentral describes it as "lncRNA (ENSSSCG00070017512.1)". The record is from RNAcentral. Lineage: Eukaryota; Metazoa; Chordata; Mammalia; Artiodactyla; Suidae.